GUAAAACCGUGUUAACACCUGGCCUGCUUCAUACGGGCAAUGAGGUACUCAGGGGGAAUGGAAUUCCUGGUGUAGCGGUGAAAUCGCAGAUAUCAGGAGGAACACCGGUGGCGAAGCGGUUCUUGGGAGUAUCCUGACGUGAAGCGAAAGUUGGGCGACAGGUUGAUACUGUAGUCCCACCGUAAACUUGGGCGCUAGGUGUGGCAUCCAUUCCACGGGUUGCCGUCCGCAGCUAACCAUUAAGCUCCCCCUGGGGAGUACGGCCGCAAGCUAAAACUCAAAGGAAUUACGGCCCGCACAAGCGGCGGAGCAUGCGGAUUAAUUCGACAACCGAAGAACCUUACCGGGUUUGACAUACCCGGAAAGCCGAGAGAU
This 375-nucleotide ribosomal RNA is filed under the name Nocardioides sp. FL32-1. RNAcentral describes it as "bacterial SSU rRNA". It matches the Rfam family "Bacterial small subunit ribosomal RNA", at positions 607 to 1007 of the family's 1533-position model. Lineage: Bacteria; Bacillati; Actinomycetota; Actinomycetes; Propionibacteriales; Nocardioidaceae. The record is from RNAcentral.